This is a long non-coding RNA of Portunus trituberculatus (swimming crab), 630 nucleotides long. RefSeq lists it as uncharacterized. The transcript has 5 exons. Lineage: Eukaryota; Metazoa; Arthropoda; Malacostraca; Decapoda; Portunidae. The record is from RefSeq and is a predicted model, not a curated record.
CAGGACCACCAGAACUUCCUAACUGGACUACUGGGAGGGUCGUUGUCCCAUCUACAGUACUAUGUGAAAGCCGGCAACCUCCUUAACUACCUUGAUUCCCACCACGUUCCUAACUCUUCGUGCACGUUCCUAACUCGUCCCAAUGACCGAUCAGAUAGCGAGUCGCCCCAUACUGAUUACUUCUACGUCAAAAAGGACGAAAAUUGCCUAAAAAAACGUGGAUUUAUAUGCGGUUUUGCUCCAGGCACCACCACCACCACCACCACCACUACCACCACCACCACCACCACCACCUACUACUACUACUACUACUACUACUACCACGAAGCCAGUUAAGCUGUGCGCGUCCUCUGAGUACCGAUGUGUGGGCGCUCCUAACUGCGUGUCACGAGGCGCCUUGUGUGACGGUCAAGUGAAUUGCUUCCUUGGUGACGACGAGGCCAACUGUAACCGCUACUUGAAGGAAUACCACCACUUCCCUAACCGCACCCCAGUAGCAGGCGUGGGCGUGGGCGUGGGUGAGCGCGGGCGCCUCCUGAAGCAGGUGUGGCGUGUGGGCGCGGGCGUGUGUGCCAGACUCUGCUCGGACACUCAACGAUGCGUCGCCUUCAUCUACGAGAGAGAGAGAGA